CCUACGGGAGGCAGCAGUGGGGAAUAUUGCACAAUGGGGGGAACCCUGAUGCAGCGACGCCGCGUGCGGGAUGACGGCCUUCGGGUUGUAAACCGCUUUUAUUGGGGAGCAAGCGUGAGUGAGUGUACCUUUUGAAUAAGCACCGGCUAACUACGUGCCAGCAGCCGCGGUAAUACGUAGGGUGCAAGCGUUGUCCGGAAUUAUUGGGCGUAAAGAGCUCGUAGGCGGUUUGUCGCGUCUGGUGUGAAAGUCCAUCGCUUAACGGUGGAUUGGCGCUGGGUACGGGCAGGCUAGAGUGUAGUAGGGGAGACUGGAAUUCUCGGUGUAACGGUGGAAUGUGUAGAUAUCGGGAAGAACACCAAUGGCGAAGGCAGGUCUCUGGGCUAUUACUGACGCUGAGGAGCGAAAGCGUGGGGAGCGAACAGGAUUAGAUACCCUGGUAGUC
RNAcentral lists this ribosomal RNA (445 nucleotides) under Alloscardovia omnicolens. Its description in RNAcentral is "bacterial SSU rRNA". It matches the Rfam family "Bacterial small subunit ribosomal RNA", at positions 338 to 795 of the family's 1533-position model. The record is from RNAcentral. Lineage: Bacteria; Bacillati; Actinomycetota; Actinomycetes; Bifidobacteriales; Bifidobacteriaceae.